GCACUGGACUCAACUGAAGAGCUCAGAUGCAGUCAAAGUUUGUCAUAGCAAAGAAGCCAGACUAAAUAACAGAAAUGUACCAUUUGGCAAAAUCCUUCAGCUGUUCAUAAAAGUCAGACACAAUACUUAAUGUUUUGAUCAGAAACUCUGCUUAUGCCUUUGACUUGGCAUCCUUUAUGACCUUUAAAUUGCAUUUUAAUGCAUUUCAAUUACGGAGGCAGGACAACUACCUGGGCAGAUGGACCAAGGUCAUUACCAAUUUACUAACACUUCUACUUUUGCUGAAGCUGCUCUAUUUUCUAUGGCUUUAGAAUAAAAUACUAUUUUUUAUUCUUCUGAAAGUGAUUUAGCUUAAUUUUAGGUUGGACUGGAUGAGCUUGGAGGUCUCUUCCAACCUGGCUGAUUCUAUGAAAUGAUCAGUUUGUAAUCUGCUGCUACUACAAUCCGGAGUGGCUUCUACCUGGACUCAGGAGAUUUCUGUAAUGCUGACCAAAGCUCUCUCCCUUUGAAGAAUCUAGUGACAAAGCUGCAGGAAGACAUACUCGAACAUAACAUGCACAAGGAGGUUGCAACAGGAACCCACUGAAAAGUACUGGAUUCAACACAAGUUCCGUGUUGGGAAAACCGCCAAGUUAACCUGCUGGUUCAGUCGGACAUGUCUUGUUCUGAAUCAAACCACCACACCACGGAAGGGAGCUGUGCAGAAGCACUUCUAGCAGAACUGCAAUCCAUGAGAAAGACUCACAAUUG
Molecule: long non-coding RNA, 750 nt
Organism: Pogoniulus pusillus (Red-fronted tinkerbird)
Lineage: Eukaryota; Metazoa; Chordata; Aves; Piciformes; Lybiidae
Exons: 3
Source: RefSeq, a predicted model, not a curated record